GUGCCAGCCAACUGCGGCUGCCUGGGACACUCCAUCUUAAGUCCCUGUGCCUCUGCUGUGUGUUACUGAGUGCCUAGGCCAUGCCAGCCUGUAUUCAUCUGUACCAUGACCUGAAGAGGCAGAGGCUAUCGUUGUUGGUCCGGUCUCCACCUGGGGAAACUGAGGUUACACAGUUGAGUGGUAGAGUGAGGGCAGGGCCUGGCUGGGUCUGGGUCUGGGGGUAGGGCCUGGGUCUGACCCUAGGGACUGGGUUUUGUGUUCAGGUGUCUGUGUGGUGAUGAGCAGGGCUUCAUCCAGUGCCCCUGUCCCCACCGAGGGGACUAUGGGAGCCAUGGAGGGUGCGUGAGCAGCAGGUGAGACUGGAGCCAGCUGAAAACUGGGAGACCGACCCAGCCAACAAACAAUGUCGGUCUCUGUCCUGGCACCCGCAGGAAACAAGCUCCUACUUCCAGAAAAAGUGCUCCUGGGACUCAAGGAUACCAAGCAUCUGGGUAAGGUACAACGCUUAACCACUUAACACAAUCAGGAAGCAACAGCCACGCAUUUGGGAAAGGAACUUCAGCGUUGUGUGGCUCAGUCUC
This 581-nucleotide long non-coding RNA is filed under the name Pongo abelii (Sumatran orangutan). RNAcentral's name for it is "lincRNA". Lineage: Eukaryota; Metazoa; Chordata; Mammalia; Primates; Hominidae. The record is from RNAcentral.